AGAGCGUUUGACUGCAGAUCAAAUGGUCGAGAGUUCAAA
This 39-nucleotide transfer RNA is filed under the name Tiarina fusus. Its description in RNAcentral is "Tiarina fusa partial tRNA". The record is from RNAcentral. Lineage: Eukaryota; Ciliophora; Prostomatea; Prorodontida; Colepidae.